Molecule: small RNA, 154 nt
Filed under: Arabidopsis thaliana (thale cress)
Lineage: Eukaryota; Viridiplantae; Streptophyta; Magnoliopsida; Brassicales; Brassicaceae
Description: ATSL158300
Source: RNAcentral
AAAAGGGGGGCGAUCUACUAACCUAUAUGAAUCCCUAAUGAGAAACCCUAUUCCUAUCAAGCAGACUACUCAGACAUAUUGAUUAAAGCAAACAACAUAUUUGAUAUAGAAAGCAUAAACACAGCAAAUAAGAUAAGGGAAAGAAGAGAUCUCU